RNAcentral lists this ribosomal RNA (454 nucleotides) under uncultured bacterium. RNAcentral describes it as "bacterial SSU rRNA". It matches the Rfam family "Bacterial small subunit ribosomal RNA", at positions 8 to 507 of the family's 1533-position model. The record is from RNAcentral.
AGAGUUUGAUCCUGGCUACAGAACGAACGCUGGCGGCAUGCCUAACACAUGCAAGUCGAACGAUGCUUUCGGGCAUAGUGGCGCACGGGUGCGUAACGCGUGGGAAUCUGCCCCUUGGUUCGGAAUAACAGUUAGAAAUGACUGCUAAUACCGGAUGACGACGUAAGUCCAAAGAUUUAUCGCCGAGGGAUGAGCCCGCGUAGGAUUAGCUAGUUGGUGUGGUAAAGGCGCACCAAGGCGACGAUCCUUAGCUGGUCUGAGAGGAUGAUCAGCCACACUGGGACUGAGACACGGCCCAGACUCCUACGGGAGGCAGCAGUGGGGAAUAUUGGACAAUGGGCGCAAGCCUGAUCCAGCAAUGCCGCGUGAGUGAUGAAGGCCUUAGGGUUGUAAAGCUCUUUUACCCGUGAUGAUAAUGACAGUAGCGGGAGAAUAAGCCCCGGCUAACUCCGUG